CUUCCAGGAGUGAAAGCUGUGCCUUUAAUACUCAUUGAGAGAGAUACCCAAGAGAGAGAGUUCUGCCCUGAAGGGAAAAGUUGAGGGAAACUGGGGAUUCGGCUACACUUGCCCCGACCCAUGCUUUGCUGGAUUGAGAAUAAAGUGCAGAAGAGUUUGCAGAGCUGAGGGUUUACAGUGGAAGCAUUCGAAAAUCAGGGAGCAAAGACGGACAAAGAACAGAAUGUAAGAGAAAAUGGUGAGCUAAUACAACAAUUUAGCAAAUUGCAGAGAGUAGCUUCUCAUUGCUGUAUUGAUUGAGGGGAA
This 306-nucleotide long non-coding RNA is filed under the name Crocodylus porosus (Australian saltwater crocodile). RNAcentral describes it as "lncRNA (ENSCPRG00005006742.1)". Lineage: Eukaryota; Metazoa; Chordata; Crocodylia; Crocodylidae. The record is from RNAcentral.